This 68-nucleotide transfer RNA is filed under the name human gut metagenome. It matches the Rfam family "tRNA". From Rfam's summary of the family: Transfer RNA (tRNA) molecules are approximately 80 nucleotides in length. Their secondary structure includes four short double-helical elements and three loops (D, anti-codon, and T loops). RNAcentral also lists the same sequence under 1 other name. The record is from RNAcentral.
CAGAUAGCUCAGUUGGUAGAGCAAGGGACUGAAAAUCCCUGUGUCACUGGUUCGAUUCCAGUUCUGGG